GACGAACGCUGGCGGCGUGCCUAAUACAUGCAAGUAGGACGCAGUUGCGAACGGGUGAGUAAAGCGUAGGUAACUACAUCUUAGAGGGGGAUAACUCUUGGAAACGAUAGCUAAUACCGCAUAAUAGUAGAUGGACAUGCGUUGUAUUAGCUAGUAGGUAGGGUAAUGGCCUACCUAGGCAACUGUACAUAGCCGACCUGACAGGGUGAUCGGCCACCCUGGGACUGAGACACUGCCCAGACGCCUACGGGAGGCAGCAGUAGGGAAUCUUCGGCAAUGGGGGGAACCCUGACCGAGCAACGCCGCGUGAGUGAAGAAGGUUUUCGGAUCGUAAAGCUCUGGUGUUAAGGAAGCGGUACUUAACCAGAAAGGGACGGCUAACUACGUGCCAGCAGCCGCGGUAAUUC
This 407-nucleotide ribosomal RNA is filed under the name uncultured bacterium. Its description in RNAcentral is "partial 16S ribosomal RNA". It matches the Rfam family "Bacterial small subunit ribosomal RNA", at positions 28 to 526 of the family's 1533-position model. The record is from RNAcentral.